This 251-nucleotide long non-coding RNA is filed under the name Olea europaea (common olive). Its description in RNAcentral is "long non-coding RNA (OEUR_LNC009681)". Lineage: Eukaryota; Viridiplantae; Streptophyta; Magnoliopsida; Lamiales; Oleaceae. The record is from RNAcentral.
GGGCGUGUUACCUCUUAAAUUGGUUGAACAACGCAGUAUACAGAUAUGGAAGUGCUCCUCUCUUCAAACCAAUAUCCCAAUACAAAAUAAAACAAAUCUCACAAGCAUAUAGUACUACAAGAAUAACAACUCUUAGUAAGUAUUUGCUAGUACAAGAUUGAUUUUUUAAAGUGCUACUAUUCCUCAGCACAUACGGCUUCAGGGCUGCCUUCCUCACUAGAUUGUUUGACUUCUGCUUCUUCUAAUGGCUC